CAAUAGCGUAUAUUAACGUUGUUGCAGUUAAAAAGCUCGUAGUUGGAUUUCUGGAGGGAGCGUCGGCCCGUAUUUACGAGUGCGUGACGUCUCUGUCCAUCCUUGCGGGAAGGCACGGCAUUGAUUUGUUGUGUCGGAUCGCAUCAUUUACUGUGAAAAGAUUAGAGUGUUCAAAGCAGGCUUUCGCUUGAAUACAUUAGCAUGGAAUAAUAAGAUAGGACUUUGGUGCUAUUUUGUUGGUUGAGCCUAAAGUAAUGAUUAAUAGGGAUAGUUGGGGGCACCUGUAUUGCGUUGUCAGAGGUGAAAUUCUUGGAUUUACGCAAGACAAACAGCUGCGAANGNGUCUGCNAAGGAUGUUUNCAUUA
This 365-nucleotide ribosomal RNA is filed under the name uncultured eukaryote. RNAcentral describes it as "partial 18S ribosomal RNA". It matches the Rfam family "Eukaryotic small subunit ribosomal RNA", at positions 592 to 975 of the family's 1831-position model. The record is from RNAcentral.